RNAcentral lists this ribosomal RNA (441 nucleotides) under uncultured bacterium. RNAcentral describes it as "partial 16S ribosomal RNA". It matches the Rfam family "Bacterial small subunit ribosomal RNA", at positions 338 to 795 of the family's 1533-position model. The record is from RNAcentral.
CCUACGGGUGGCAGCAGUGGGGAAUAUUGCACAAUGGGGGAAACCCUGAUGCAGCGACGCCGCGUGAGUGAAGAAGUAUUUCGGUAUGUAAAGCUCUAUCAGCAGGAACGAGACAAGACGGUACCUGACUAAGAAGCCCCGGCUAACUACGUGCCAGCAGCCGCGGUAAUACGUAGGGGGCAAGCGUUAUCCGGAAUCACUGGGUGUAGAGGGAGCGUAGACGGCUGAGCAAGCCUGAAGUGAAAGGGGGGGGCCCAACCCCCGGACUGCUUUGGGAACUGUACGGCUGGAGUGCAGGAGAGGUAAGUGGAAUUCCUAGUGUAGCGGUGAAAUGCGUAGAUAUUAGGAGGAACACCAGUGGCGAAGGCGGCUUACUGGACUGUAACUGACGUUGAGGCUCGAAAGCGUGGGGAGCAAACAGGAUUAGAUACCCUGGUAGUC